CUUCACCAGUCGCCAUUAUCAU
This 22-nucleotide non-coding RNA is filed under the name Arabidopsis thaliana (thale cress). Lineage: Eukaryota; Viridiplantae; Streptophyta; Magnoliopsida; Brassicales; Brassicaceae. The record is from RNAcentral.